CGACCGCGUGGAGGAUGAAAUAUCUUGGUAUAGUAAACUCCUUUCGAUGGGAAGAUUAUGACGGUACCCAUAGAAGAAGCCCCGGCUAACUUCGUGC
RNAcentral lists this ribosomal RNA (97 nucleotides) under uncultured bacterium. RNAcentral's name for it is "partial 16S ribosomal RNA". The record is from RNAcentral.